This is a long non-coding RNA of Triticum dicoccoides, 868 nucleotides long. RefSeq lists it as uncharacterized. The transcript has 5 exons. NCBI's taxonomy places the organism in Eukaryota, Viridiplantae, Streptophyta, Magnoliopsida, Poales, Poaceae. The record is from RefSeq and is a predicted model, not a curated record.
GUCAACUCCUCCGGCCCCUCUGCCGCCCCUCGUCCCCUCCUCUCUCUCCCACUCGACUCACUUGUCACCGCCACCUCCCACGCCUGAUCCCGGCGAGGACAUAGCAGUCAGCACCCUCAUGCACGACGGCGGCGGCGAGGUCGGCGCCCUCGUCAUGCGGCACGCAACGCUGGCUGCGGGCUGUGGCCAGCGACGUCGAGUUCUGCUGUGGCGCAAAGCCGAAGCGGUCUGCCACGACCUCCUGUAGCUUUCGCACGCCCAGCGACGGUUGCACGAUCACCGUGCCCAGGUCCACUCUUUACUCCCGUCAGAUCUGGAUCAGCCAGCGCAUGACCGUGUUUGCCUAUGGAGCGAUGGGCAGCGGCAUGACCUACACCAUGCAGGGCAUUGAAGAUCUGUCGGGGCUCAUCCCUUGUCGGUCGCGACAAUCCCGGCGCACUGUACCAACACCUGGUGCUCCGUCGAGAUCUCCUACUACGAGGUGUACAUGGAACUGUACUAUGACUUGCUCGAGCCCAUGACAUUGGAUGACAAAUUUGGUAACCUACAGCUUAAGGGCUUGGCUUGGGUCCCCGUGCCAUCCAUGGAGGAGUUUCAGGAAGCCUACUCGACCUCUCUCCUCGCCGUGACCCAACCAUAAAAUGUUCGGGAUGGCAGAGAAGAAGAUGGAGUACCGGGUCGAGCUUUGAACAUUCAUUGUAUUGAAUUCUUACUAGACACAGAACAAAAUUUGGCUCACAUGUUUCUUUAUGGUCUGAAUGUUCAACAGUUUUGAACCUUUAAGCUACUGUUUUGACAUUAACUGGAUUACAUGAAUCAGUUUGAUACUAUUUUGGUGUUGCUUUCGCUUUAAACUAGUCUCCCUUUC